GAUGAACGCUGGCGGCGUGCCUAAUACAUGCAAGUCGAGCGAACAGAUGAGGAGCUUGCUCCUCUGACGUUAGCGGCGGACGGGUGAGUAACGCGUGGAUAACCUACCUAUAAGACUGGGAUAACUUCGGGAAACCGGAGCUAAUACCGGAUAAUAUAUUGAACCGCAUGGUUCAAUAGUGAAAGACGGUUUUGCUGUCACUUAUAGAUGGAUCCGCGCCGCAUUAGCUAGUUGGUAAGGUAACGGCUUACCAAGGCAACGAUGCGUAGCCGACCUGAGAGGGUGAUCGGCCACACUGGAACUGAGGCACGGUCCAGACUCCUACGGGAGGCAGCAGUAGGGAAUCUUCCGCAAUGGGCGAAAGCCUGACGGAGCAACGCCGCGUGAGUGAUGAAGGUCUUCGGAUCGUAAAACUCUGUUAUUAGGGAAGAACAAAUGUGUAAGUAACUAUGCACGUCUUGACGGUACCUAAUCAGAAAGCCACGGCUAACUACGUG
This 497-nucleotide ribosomal RNA is filed under the name uncultured bacterium. RNAcentral describes it as "partial 16S ribosomal RNA". It matches the Rfam family "Bacterial small subunit ribosomal RNA", at positions 28 to 507 of the family's 1533-position model. The record is from RNAcentral.